AUUGAACGCUGGCGGCAGGCUUAACACAUGCAAGUCGAGCGGGGUGAUGGUGCUUGCACUAUCACUUAGCGGCGGACGGGUGAGUAAUGCUUAGGAAUCUGCCUAUUAGUGGGGGACAACAUCUCGAAAGGGAUGCUAAUACCGCAUACGUCCUACGGGAGAAAGCAGGGGAUCACUUGUGACCUUGCGCUAAUAGAUGAGCCUAAGUCGGAUUAGCUAGUUGGUGGGGUAAAGGCCUACCAAGGCGACGAUCUGUAGCGGGUCUGAGAGGAUGAUCCGGCACACUGGGACUGAGACACGGCCCAGACUCCUACGGGAGGCAGCAGUGGUGAAUAUUGGACAAUGGGGGGAACCCUGAUCCAGCCAUGCCGCGUGUGUGAAGAAGGCCUUAUGGUUGUAAAGCACUUUAAGCGAGGAGGAGGCUCUUUUGGUUAAUACCCAAGAUGAGUGGACGUUACUCGCAGAAUAAGCACCGGCUAACUCUGUGCCAGCAGCCGCAGUAA
RNAcentral lists this ribosomal RNA (503 nucleotides) under uncultured bacterium. RNAcentral's name for it is "partial 16S ribosomal RNA". It matches the Rfam family "Bacterial small subunit ribosomal RNA", at positions 30 to 523 of the family's 1533-position model. The record is from RNAcentral.